CAGACAAGAAAGAUGGGGAACGUAUGUUGAAGAUGCUACAUGUGAGUAAACAUGUGUAACAGAAUGCCGAUGCUGAGGUGGCGGAAGCAGUGAGGGCUAAUGAGACUUUAAGAUAUGGGGAUGGUCGUCUGGAAGAAUGCACGAGGCAAGUUGGAGAAGGUUGUUGCAGUUGUUUAGAAAGACAUGCUGUCAGUUCUGCAAGAAUUCAUUCCUUCUUGAUAAUAAGCGGUUGCCAAGCCAUUUUCCUGUACCAGUUUCAGCCAGUUUGCCAGGUUGGAUGUUUAGUAAAAGUAAAGGACGAUGAUGCACUGGACUUUUCCUUGGAGAACAAACAAGGUGGCGCGACAACGAGCAUGAUACAAGUGAUCCUGACCUCAAAAUAUUCAGAUUUACCUGCCUCCGAGAUGGGUGACAAG
Mercenaria mercenaria is the source of this 416-nucleotide long non-coding RNA. RefSeq lists it as uncharacterized. NCBI's taxonomy places the organism in Eukaryota, Metazoa, Mollusca, Bivalvia, Venerida, Veneridae. The record is from RefSeq and is a predicted model, not a curated record. The transcript has 4 exons.